RNAcentral lists this ribosomal RNA (289 nucleotides) under uncultured Porphyromonas sp. Its description in RNAcentral is "partial 16S ribosomal RNA". The record is from RNAcentral. Lineage: Bacteria; Pseudomonadati; Bacteroidota; Bacteroidia; Bacteroidales; Porphyromonadaceae.
CUACCGGGGUAUCUAAUCCUGUUUGAUACCCACGCUUUCGUGCUUCAGCGUCAGUUGUACCUUAGUAAGCUGCCUUCGCAAUCGGAGUUCUGCGUGAUAUCUAUGCAUUCCACCGCUACACCACGCAUUCCGCCUACCUCAUCUACACUCAAGCCCGCCAGUAUCAAUGGCAAUUUAGGAGUUAAGCUCCUAGAUUUCACCGCUGACUUAACAGGCCGCCUACGCACCCUUUAAACCCAAUAAAUCCGGAUAACGCUCGCAUCCUCCGUAUUACCGCGGCUGCUGGCAC